This 76-nucleotide transfer RNA is filed under the name Armatimonadota bacterium. Its description in RNAcentral is "tRNA-Val". It matches the Rfam family "tRNA". From Rfam's summary of the family: Transfer RNA (tRNA) molecules are approximately 80 nucleotides in length. Their secondary structure includes four short double-helical elements and three loops (D, anti-codon, and T loops). RNAcentral also lists the same sequence under 2 other names. The record is from RNAcentral. Lineage: Bacteria; Bacillati; Armatimonadota.
GGGCGGUUAGCUCAGCUGGCAGAGCGCAGCCUUCACACGGCUGAAGUCAGAAGUUCAAGUCUUCUACCGCCCACCA